GUCCCUGUAGCGUUGUGGAUAGCGCGUUGGACUUCUAAUCCAAAGGUUGUGGAUUCGAAUCCCAUCUGGGAAG
Molecule: non-coding RNA, 73 nt
Organism: Trichonephila clavata
Lineage: Eukaryota; Metazoa; Arthropoda; Arachnida; Araneae; Nephilidae
Source: the annotation of a GenBank genome assembly